RNAcentral lists this long non-coding RNA (3595 nucleotides) under Lupinus angustifolius (narrow-leaved blue lupine). Its description in RNAcentral is "long non-coding RNA (LANG_LNC001568)". Lineage: Eukaryota; Viridiplantae; Streptophyta; Magnoliopsida; Fabales; Fabaceae. The record is from RNAcentral.
CUUUACUUUGUAGAGUCUUCCCUCUCUUCUUUUUACCAAUUGCUUUUACCAAACUCAUUAUUAUGUGUCUUCUGUCUUCCACCACCACCCUCUUUAACUAAUCAUCAUAUGUUCCUAACUAAAUAUGAAUCCAUUUCCUUCCACAAUUGUUCUUCUUCACAGCAAAAUCAACACACCAUAUGGCAAAACUAACCAAUAUGCCUAAGAACAUAGAGAAGUAAAGAGUGGUAGCAGUGGCAAUAUCAGCAUAUGCUCCUAGCAAACAUAAGUAAGAUGUUACUUUUCUGUAUAAUCUUUAAGUACACAACUUUUUUAUAUUUCUUCAUGUUUCUUGUUAUGUUUAGCUCUAAUGGAGAUUAAGUUGUGUCUUAUGGCAUAAUACAUGAAUGCCAAACUUGCAAUAACUUGGUUUGCUUUUGGCAUUGGCUAUCUAUAGUUCUUUUUUUAGUUCUCUUACGAAAAUUGGGUUGGGAAAGUAAAUUGCAAAAAUUUAGUGUGGUUCUAAGGUUUCUAUCAAUUGUUAUAAAAGCUUUCCAAUAUGUCUAUCAGUCACGGCACGAGUGGUGAUGCCAGCAUUGCAGUGUUCACCCGAAAAUGGUCAAAGGGUGUAUGGCUGCAGCAAUCUGCAUGCGCAUUGGGGCUGUGGAGCAUGGUGGGAUGUUAGGAUCAAACCUUUGUUUGAAGAAAUAUAUAUAGUUAGUUGUGUGCAAAAUCCAGGUUAGAAAGAACACAACACAAACAGUAUCUGCACACCAAAGCCAAAAUGCAGUUCCACCCCAAUUAUAAUUAUGUUCAAGUACAUCAGAAUUCAGAACCAUAAAAGAAAAAAAGAAUAUUUAUUCUAUAAUCUAUGCACACCAAAAACAACAACUAGGAAUCCAGUUUCCUGCUGUUAAUCCUUUUACUCUCAUUUUUUUUCCAUUUCUCUCUUCUAUCUAUGUUUAUGUUCAAUGUGUAGUCGGAUAGGCGAAUUGCCGAGAUAUACACACACUCAGGAUGACUAAUAAAACACAGCAAGCUCUGUACAAAAAGAAAAAAAGCAAACCAAAGACCAAAAGCUGGAUUAGAGAAAAAAACAAACCCAGAAUAAUAUCAAAGAAAAGAAACCAAAGAAUGACACACUAAGCACUCUAGUUUUAGGUGCAAGUGUCAAGAAAAGAACACUGUUAAGUGUGCCGAAGACCCUUAGAAUGUGCCGUAACAGUCUAAGGGAGGGUAUGGCUUUCAAAAUUUUAGGCUGAACCAAAACUGCAAUCUUUCUCAAACCAGGUGGAGAAGAACUCAACAAGCUAGAUUGCUGAGGGUGGGGAGAAAAGAUUUAGAAAGGGGAAAGGACACGUAAAUAUUUGUAUAUCGGUCGAAUUAGAGAUUAAUAUAAACUAUGUAGUAGGGUUCUUUUGCAGAGUGGUGGUUGUGAGGUGUUGGCACUUAGGUUGAGGGAUGGAGACUCCAUUCCAAGUGUUUUCAUAAGGAAGCUCCUUUCCUGUCAAAUUGAAGAGAAAAUUGGGUCAAAGAAAGAAGAAAAAUGCUUGAAGUUAAUUAAAUUUUUUGCAUGAAAAAUUCUAACUAACAUGCAGCUCAUAUACUCAACCAGGAAUAGAAAAACAGUAAAUUGGCUAAAAUGUUUGAUGAACAAGCAUGGUACACUCUGUAAUAUUUUAUGUCUAAGUGUGUGCUUAAUAAAAUAAUGUGACACUAGUUUCAAAUUUAAAGCUAUUGUCUUGAAUCAUUUGAGGUAUGAAAUAUAAUUGAUCUUCCUAAAACAAGAUCUGUAGGCUACAAAAUCUAUAAGAGAAGCAUUAAGAACCUAUAAUUGCAUGAGUAUCACAAGUUUAUGUCAUCACAAAACUACCUUCUACUGCUUAAAUAUCCCCAUUAUUCUUACUACUCAAGUUGAUCUAAUAAUAAACGGCAUUCCGAAAGUCCUGCCACUGAUACUAUUACUUCUGUAAUCUAUCUAUUGCCCAUAAUUGUUUAAUCUCAGUGCUUUGUUAACUUACACUUUCUGAAAAAUGUGGGCUAGGAAUUCCUGCAGUUAAGGAUCUGAACAUAGGGGUAACUUGAAGAGGGGAACUGAACUCUGCACUUGAUAAGGCAGAAGCAAUGCCAUCAUUGUUUAUCGGCUCCUUACAUGAUGGAAAUAUAUCUGCUACAGAAAGAUAUGUAUCUAAUGAGAUAUUCUGAUUCAUCAAAAUGUUAGGAUAGCAUAUAAAAACUUUCAUUUUGAUGAAACUAUAAAACAUAAGUUCUUAGCUGGAAAAUCUCUAGUUUAGGAUCAGUUAAUCAUUUAAGUUAGGUCAAUAAGUGGCUACAAGUUAACCACACCGAUCAUCAUUUACACCGAAAAGUGGUUCGUUGUUCCUAAACUGGAAAUACUUUUCACAAAAUAUUUUCCGAAACUUGAUUAUCUUACCUUGAUUCAUUGUUGCACUAGAAAAGACCCCUUGAUCACAUCCUCUAACUCCUCCUUGGUCUCCAUUUUGAAUAGACUUCAGUUCAAUAUCUUGAUGUAUAGAGUGUUCCAAAUUCUCACAACAUGAAUUAGGCAGAAAAGUUGAUUCUGUACUGUGUUCAGAACUGCCUAGAGAGUCUUCACACAGUUCCAUUUGCCUAGAAUAGAUUAAGAAACUAUUAGAUAUCAUUCUAUAUAGCCCUCGUGAAGUUAUCUUUUCAAUGAACUUAAAAUUACCUCAAACAUGGUUGGAUUCCCUCUCUACUACUCCUUAAGUCCUCCAACAAAUCUUUAAGAUCUACAAGCUGUAAAUCUGGAAUCUUAUAUCUUGGACUGUCUGAUUCUUUAGUUUGAUUCAGAAAAUCUUGAAGAACCUGGCCUCAAUAUGCAAAAUUGUUAGAAGAUAUACUCAUGAACUAAGCCUGCAGAAAUAAACUAGUGAGGUGUUUAAUGCUUAACAGAACCAAGUCCAGUUUUUUUAUAAGAUUGUAUGAUGCCAAGCUGAUCUACGAAAUUGUUUCAGAGUUAUUUUUUCAAAUCCAAGAUUACCAACUAUCUUAAUUCUAAAUUAUUUCGAUCAUCUAUGACUAAGUAGUUAGGAUUUAAAUCCUUGUCACUCCCUUAUUCAUACAUAUGAUUUUAGCAUAAAGUAAAGUGGGCUUGUGCAUGAUCCAUCCUUUAAUUGGCUCAAGCACCAAGGGGCUUGUUAGAGAUACGCUUUUAGGGCGGCUGGUUUUUGACAUGCAUAACUGCUUCAGAUUCAUAAAUGCCACAUUCGUCUAUCAAUCAUAUAAUCCUGAAAGGCCUAAUUCUUUUUUAGCCUAUAUUGUUACAAGGGAGUCUCAACAACUAAAUACUGUACAAUCAGCUAGUACAAAAAUACAUUCAGGAAUUAUCAGAAUCAACUUAACCUCUCCAAUAAUAAAUAAUACUGUCUAGCUAACCAACGAAACUAUUAUAGAUUUUUCAAAGCCAAUGUCAAAAAUAUUAAAUGACUUUCAUGGUUAUCAUAUAGAUAGAGUUGGCAUGAAAUAGUGAUUUAAUUCUAUUGAACUGAACUUAUUGAGAUUUAAUCUAUACUUUAGGCACAUCAGAAGUUCAAAACUCGAAAUAAGAGCAAGUGCAGAAACUUCAAGCCUCACC